GAGCUCGAUUAGGCAGCCGACUCGACUAGAGUACCUGGUCGCCCUGGUCGUCCGACUAGUCGACGAUUAGGGCCGAUUAGUCGCUCGAUUAGCCGGUUCUGGGCGACUAGGUUUAGGACCUAGGUUUUUUGAUUUCCUGGCUUCGUGGGCUUUUUUGGCGGGCGGCCCGACUACAGGCAGUUGAAACGCCACACGCCAGCCGCCUCUACUGAAGAUGGAACCUCAGCCGCCUGUUCUGUCUUCUCUUUAUUUCCCUUUCCCUAAUUCCCUACCUGCUCGGCGGCUGUUCUUGAGUUCUUGUUCUGGAAUCCAGGCUUCCAAAGUCCACUGCUCCACUCCAGACUUCCAAUCCAGCACGCGCGAAUCCAGUUCACCGACGGACUCCAGACUUCAUCCUUCAUCCUUCAAUCUCCAGCACGCGCGAAUCCAGUUUUUUUCGUCGGCAUGAGUUCAUCUUCUGGAGAGUUUGGUCGUCGCCAUCAGGAUAAUGUUGAGGUGAUCUUCCCAGAAUCACAAGUUGUGGGCAGCGGUAAUGAAUUUCAGUUGGAUGAAGAUCUUCUUUAGGUAACUGGGUGGUAAUGUGUGUUGUGUGGUACUGUUAUGGUAUCUGGGACUUGUAGUAUUAAUAACUAGUAAGUGUUUCUCUGCUGUUUUCACUUUUCA
This is a long non-coding RNA of Zea mays, 663 nucleotides long. RefSeq lists it as uncharacterized. NCBI's taxonomy places the organism in Eukaryota, Viridiplantae, Streptophyta, Magnoliopsida, Poales, Poaceae. The record is from RefSeq and is a predicted model, not a curated record. The transcript is spliced from 2 exons.